Molecule: non-coding RNA, 1139 nt
Organism: Callithrix jacchus (white-tufted-ear marmoset)
Lineage: Eukaryota; Metazoa; Chordata; Mammalia; Primates; Cebidae
Source: RefSeq, a predicted model, not a curated record
GUUGUUAUAUAUAAAGUGGGUUUUUAAAAUAAACACAAUAACAUGUUUGGAAGACGUUUCUGUAAGAUAAUGUCCUUCUCAAGAUCCAAUUUGGCUUGCGUGCCCCCUGGGAAUUGAACAGGCUCGAUUUUUCCAGAUGAAUUUAAAAGACAAAUUCGGUUUUCUUGUGAUGAAAGGUCUGCAAUGUCCACUUCUCCCACAAGGGGGCAGCGCACCACUGGUUCUUCAGCUACAAGGACGGCCUGGGAUUCGGAUCACGCUGCUGGAGGAGGGCCUCCUCAGGGGAAGACAAUCCACUGCCAGUCAAGAAGAGGCGCGCCUGAUGUGUCUCGGCAUCGUUGAAUUUCAUGUCUCACGAACCCUGCGUAUUUGCCAGAAGUUUUUUGGCUGUUCUCAUGCAGAAAAGGAUGAAAUCAUUUUGUGUGUUGGACAGCCCUUAUAUUCCUAGAAAAAAGAAUUUAUUUUUCCUGUAUAUAUACAAAGUGUAUCCAGCUAAAUCAUAACAAAAGUGAUUUUAAGCAGGUACCAAGACACGCCAGAUCAUAAAGACACUGUUCUCCCUUCAAGCUCCUUUUAUGAGUUUAUGGACACGCAUGAGAUAUGACGGUUCGGCCUCGAACAGGCACACUGGACGAUGAGUUGAAAGAUACAUCAUGAGACUGGUGGGGAAAGAAGACACAGGGCAGCAAGUGCCUGGUCACCAUGGAGCUGCUAGAGCAGCCAGACUGCCUACCUAGAUUUUGAUGAGAGACAUUUAAAAAAAUCCGUAUUUUGGGCUUUUGGUUACCUGCAGCUGAACUUAACCCUAAUCAAUAAUAGCAAUGCCUUCAGAAAACAGGCCAGAGGUUUCCCUAAGGCCUGGAUGCAUUAUUUUUAAAUACUGUCAAUGCCUGUCUCUAAUUCCACUCUCUCACAAAGACUUCAAAACAGUUAACUACACAGAACCUCAGACAAAUGGACAUAAAGAAGGUUCUCAGCUGGCAAAUCCAGGCAUUUUGGUACCUAAGGGUUCAUCCCUCACUACCUAUGAAUGAAAUGCCAUUUUGGUUUUUGCAUCAGUUUGGUUUACAUGAUCUAGUGCUGGAGAGCCUCAUUAUUUCUUGACAUACUGAAAUGCACGGCAAAGGAUUGGGGGAGAG